UACAGUCAAUUAUUUGAAACCUUUCAGGCUGUGAGCAUGUUGAGCCUAAAGGAUAAGCUGAAUUAUCUGAUAAUAUUUUGCUGCUGUGUGUUUGUCUCUAUCCAUGGAAGCGGCAAAGGUUUACAUGCUCCGUGUGAAGUUGCGAUUAUGGUCCGAAGAAACAGCACCUGGAAGACUCCUCCACGACAAAGUCUGAGGGUCAGCUGUCCGGUCAUACACUGUGGAGAAACGCUGGAGGUCACCUGGUGUAAAUUCCUCGACUCAAACAACUGUGAACGGAUUCAUGAAACAAAAAAUAUGGAAAUAACACAGAAUCCUGAUGAGGAUAAGCUGAUCUCAUAUUUACAUUUCAAGGAGAUUUCCAUUCAUGAUGAUGGUCAGUACAGAUGUCGUUUACUAGGAUAUAAUAUCAGCCUAAUCAGCCAUUCCAUCAACAUCUCAGUAUCAGACAUGCACCAGGGAGUUGAAAACACUGAUAAUAACAAUAAAAAUGCAGGUACAACACCGAGCCCUUAUCACAAUGAGGAUAAGAACUGGAGGCCAUACUUCUACAUUUGUUUUGGCAUAGUGCUUCUGAUUCUCAUACUGACUGCGUUCAUCUUCCUGAGUUCUUAUGACUGGAAACGAGUGCUGACCUUAAACUACGUAAAGGGAGAGGAAAUGCCCACUCAUAUGAUACCAGACCUCCCUAAAUGGAGCCCUCCUUCCACUCCUGUCCCACUGACCAGCUUGUCUGUUUUGAAUGACAUCUAUUCAUCAUAUACUCCAGACAGAUCAGUAUCACCAGCUUCCCAGCCCUGUUCGAACCAGAUUUCAGCUUCAAAUCCAGCAGAUAAAUAUCAAGACUGUGAAGUAUAUGGUAUCAUCAAACAUAGACACGCUACCAAACAGGGUGGAAAAUAUCACACCAUGACUAACCAAGUUAAAAACCCAGAGUCUUCUAUCACUGCUGAAAGACCAGAAUCACCACCUCGCCAGCCCCAUGAGUACCAGAUUUCAGCUUCAAAUCUAGCAGUCAGAAAUGAAGACUAUGCAACGUAUGCUGUCAUCAACCACGGCAAACCUGCUGGAAAACAGCACACUGUGCCUAACCAAGUUAAAAACCCAGAGUAUGCUGUCAUCAAAUUUUCCUGAGUGUUGUUGAUUUGAAAGGGACACUUGCAGAUGAAAAAAUGGAAAAAUGUUUUGCAAUAUGUGGUGGAGUCACAUGAUGAAACGUACAGCUGUACAGCCAUACUGCAGAAGAGAUGAAUGGAGGAAGCUUGUGGUUCUCUAAGUGAACCGUAUGUCCUCUACAGUUAUCAUGACUAAACCGGAAGCAGCAGUGACUUCAUUCUCUAGGCCUCGGGUUUGUUCCCAGCACUGCUUCUUUUUCAAUUAAUAAUUUAUUGUACUUUGUAUUGUACUUGUGGUGUCAUCUGAUUCUAGUCCUUGUAUUGACUGACUGUAGUAACUGUCGUACUUUCAAAAAAGGUCAUAAACAGAUUUCUUCUUCACAGACGAAUAACACUUAAAUGCAGUUUUCUGACUGAUUUGUUAUAGAAGGAUGGCAGUCAUUAAAAAGAAAUGUUAAUCAGUACCAGAGAGAUUUGAGAGAUAUGAACAGUUUCUCAUACCUGUCCCACAUACAGUGCUUGUUGUUUUUGUCACCACUACUGUCAGAGACAACACCUUGCCUGUUGACCACAGAAGUGUGGUUUAGCUCAAAUGUGCAGGAAGUUAAAGAUGGAAACAUUUCUGACAAUGACAUUUUGUGAAAAGGGACGCUCUGCCUCAACCACAUGUUUGCAUUGUUAAUACUGCAGUUUGGGUGAUGGCCUUAUUUUUGGUCCGUCUUUUCACAUAUUCUAUACUUAAAAGAAAAACAAGUAAGAGUAGUAUUGGUUAGCUAUGCAAAGGUACCAGAAACUACAAGCAGCGGAGAAUGGAGGAAUUAGAGGAAAUAUUAAAUAAAGACAACAUAGUCGUUGUCAUAGUAGACUCUAUGUUUGUUAACCAUUUGAGGUUGGAAACCUUAAAGAAAUCUCCCCUUGUAAAAUGUUAGGGCCUUUUUGUGGACAUACACUGUGUGCAAUUCCGUUUAAGGGGGAUUUUCACCUUUAAAAUUUCUCUGAAUCAUUUUAUAAGUGAGUCUGAAGUUAGAGCAUUUUCCUGGAAAAAAACAGGUGUUUAUCAAAAUAUUAAAACAAUUAUGGUAAAGCUGCAAUUUAACUGUUUAGAAUAAUUUCAAAUGUCAGCAUUAAUCCUGCCUCUUUAAUACUUACACUCAAUUGAUCUACAUUAGUAUAUAUGUAUUUGUAUAUAUACAUGUUUGAUUAUUUGUUUUGCUUUUUAAAUAAUACCAUAGACAAUAGACUACAGACUCUAUAGGUAUGAUUUUUUUAAAUGUUGCAUUCAGUUCAAACCAGUGAUUCUGCCCAUAAGUUUUUACUGAGGUAUAUGUGGUGGGGGGACCAGGGAAGGUUUUUCCAUAUCUAUACAACCAAACAUUUAUUUUUUUUUAAAUCACAGAGGUUGCCCCUUGUUCUUAGAAAUAAUUCAGAUUUAAGGUACUUGUGAACUGCCUUCACUUUUAAUCAUUUCGAGCUGUGCCCAUCGUUUACUGUAUGUGCAGUGUGUGAUAUCAGCUAACAGGUCAAUAAAACAUUGGUGCAUGAUCAUAAUUUUCUUGUCAAGUGUCACAAACAGAAAUCUGCAGAAAAUAAACCCAUUUACUACAUUA
Long non-coding RNA from Oreochromis niloticus (Nile tilapia), 2722 nucleotides. RefSeq annotates it as B- and T-lymphocyte attenuator. The record is from RefSeq and is a predicted model, not a curated record. The transcript has 6 exons. Lineage: Eukaryota; Metazoa; Chordata; Actinopteri; Cichliformes; Cichlidae.